Mauremys reevesii (Reeves's turtle) is the source of this 775-nucleotide long non-coding RNA. RefSeq lists it as uncharacterized. The transcript has 4 exons. The record is from RefSeq and is a predicted model, not a curated record. NCBI's taxonomy places the organism in Eukaryota, Metazoa, Chordata, Testudines, Geoemydidae.
ACUACAGAAGGGCAAUGGUACUGUCGCAGCUCUUCUGGCAAAAAGGUUGCUAAUGCAGAUUUUUCUGUUUGGGGCUUUGGCCAUUAAUGACGUUGGUUCAUUUUCCAGACUCCGGUGCCUCCAUCUUCCACCUGCAGGCCAGCCUGAUCCAGUCCCGAGCCUGCUUCUGCUUUUCACAAUGUAUGUUCCAUGAUGGAACUCUGAUGCCAGCGUAAAUCUGUGCAACACAGUACAAAUUACUUUAGUACUUGCAUGCCACUAUAAUCCCUUUUCUGUGAAAAUGCCUUAAAAUAGUCUUUUAAUUAAAAAUCCAAAUCUUUGGUCAUUUUUUGUAGCAUAUUGAUCUACAAAAAUAUGGAAUCUGUAUUACACUUCUGUCACCCAAAUUUCAUUAGAACUCUAGAAGUAAUUGGCUGUGCAUGCAAGACAACUGUACAUUAUUGUACAUGGUAUGGAUAUUUUUACAUGGAUUUUUUUCUUGAGCAUCUGACCUGCUAUGUGUUGUUUCAAUGGGAUUUCUAAUCAACUGCGCAAAAUGCUUUAACCCAGUGUCAUCAGAGCAGGGCAUCAUGGACACAGACACUAAAAACCACAGGAGAUCAUCUUAAUCUUCAGGUACUGUCUGAAGAAUGGAUUCAGAUAGUCUUAUUCCAGAUGAACCACAGACAAGCACAAGAUGCCUACAGGCAAAACCAGAAGCAGUAAUUAUCUUUUUACAAAGGUUGAUAAUGUUUUAGCUAAUCCAUACCCAAAAUAAAACCCUAUUCUUUCAUUA